This 708-nucleotide long non-coding RNA is filed under the name Theobroma cacao (cacao). Its description in RNAcentral is "long non-coding RNA (TCAC_LNC003308)". Lineage: Eukaryota; Viridiplantae; Streptophyta; Magnoliopsida; Malvales; Malvaceae. The record is from RNAcentral.
GGGUUUCGUGGACCAUCUUAUUAGAAGGGCACGGUAACCUUAUUAUAUUCAUACCUCAGUAUGAGAGGCGCAGUUGGAUAACUCUUGAGGUUAAAACUUUAGAGUUCACUUCACGCCAAAGCACCACGUGAGGGUGAACUCAGCCAACGCCAAGGUACGACUAUGCUUUCAAAAUAAAAACAUGAUUUAUGAGUACAUAACUUUUUAACAGCCUUGGCGAUCUCGGUUGGGAUAGCUUUCAGCCAAGGUGUCCUUGAUAACUGAGUAUGAGAAUGAUUUUGACACGAGCCAAAGUUUUAAGAAAUUUAUAAGCCAUGUUGAUUACUCGAUUUAUAUGAAUUGGUUUUAUUUGGUUGAAAUGAGUUGAAAGGUGAUGAAUUACAAUAUGUUAAACUAUUUUAUCUGUCUCCAUUUACUCAGCUUUAGAUAUUUUAGAUGGUAUUUGUUUACUCAUUGGGAUUAUAUAAUAUCCCCACCCUCCUUUCCACCCAUUUCAGGCUCAGGAUAGUCGAUAGAUAGCUCAUUUCAUUGAAGGCUACAGUUGGACUUGCAUCCUCAAAAAAAAAAACUGUAGGUUUACCUCUUUUGAUACUUUUGGUCGUUUAUGGGCCCACUUGUCACUGUAAAUUAAAUUUUAUACUUUGGUUAUCUAUAUUACAGUAUGUAUAAAUUUAUUUAGCUUUUACGCUACAAAAAUUAUUUACCGAA